This is a non-coding RNA of Callithrix jacchus (white-tufted-ear marmoset), 9430 nucleotides long. Lineage: Eukaryota; Metazoa; Chordata; Mammalia; Primates; Cebidae. The record is from RefSeq and is a predicted model, not a curated record.
CGCGAUGCUACCGCAGGGCGGCUGACGUCAUCGGCAGGCCCUGGAGACGCGGCUGCAGUUACCGGGUCUCUGGGGCCGCAUCCCCUGACAGGAAGGCGGCGUUGGAGGGUGGCUGGGUUUACCCUAUGGGCCAAAUUGCUUCAGUUACCGAAGAUAAAUACAACUUGGCAAUGAUUGUUUAUAGUGCCCUGAAAAAGAAUGGCUGUAUAUUGCAGAGACAAAAGUAGCAUUGCCUCUUUUCUCACCUAACUUCAAGGAAGUGCAUUACAGGAAGGCAAUGAACAAAGGCUCAACAGUUCAUAGUUAAGGUCAGGUGCCACGCGUGGCUCAUGUCUGCAAUCUCAGCACUUUCAGAAGUGGAAGUAGGAGGAUCUGUUGGGGCCAAGAGAUCAAGACCAGCCCUGGCCACAUAGACCCUGUCUCUACAAAAAUAAAAUUUAAAAAUUAGCCAGUUGUGGUGGUGCAUGCCUACAAUCCCACCUACUUGGAAGACUGAGGUGGAAGAAUCACUUGAGCCCAGGAGUUCAAGGUUACAGUGAACUAUGAUUUCACCACUGCACUCCAGCAUGGGUGACAGACAAAGACCUUGUCCCCAAAAACACCUACCAACACACACAUAUUUGGAAGUUUAAAAAAUUCUAUGCUCUUGAAUAAUUUGUGUGACAAUUUUUUUUUUUAAACAGGGCUUCACCAUGUUUCUCAGGCUGGUCUGAAACUCCUGAGCUCAAUUGACCCUCCUGCCUUGGCCUCCCAAAGUGCUGGGAUUACAGGCAUGAGCAGUGGCACCUGGCCCAAAAUUCAUAAAUUAGCAAAAGUAGGGAGAAUAAUGAACACUUGUUUUCCACCUUAUCAACAUGGAUCAAUCUUGUUUCAUCUAUACCCCACUCUCAUCCAGAUUAUUUUUGAGGCAAACUGUAACUAUGGUUAUACUAUAACCAUCCAUAUCUUAUUAUAUACUUUAGAAGAUGAAGCUCUUAAAAUACAAACAAAUGAAAUCUAACUGGCAUACUAUGGUGGCCGAAUUAUAAGAUGGCCUCCAAGAUUCCUGGCUCCUGGUACACACGUACCUUCUCGCAGUUAAUCAAACAUGAAUUUGUGUGCUGCUACAAGGGAUUUUGGUAAUUAAGCUCCCAAAUCAGUUUUUUUUUACACUAAGGAUAUUAUCCUCCAUGGACCUGACCCAAUCAGAUGAGUCCUUAAGUAGGAUAGGGCUUUUCCUGGCAAGGGAUAUUAACUAUGUGAGAAGCAAUGGAUAGGAGGAAGGUUCCCCAGGCUGGAAGGGGACACUUAGCAAGGACCUAAGAGUGGCCUCUUGGAGCUGACAGUAACCCCAGCCAACAGCAAGAAAAGGGGUAUCUCAGUCCUACAACCAGAAGUAACUGUAUUUUGCCAAAUACCUGAAUGAGCUUGGAAGGAGGUCCUGAGCUCUGAUGAGAACCCAGCUGUCUGCUACCUUCAUUGCAGCCUUGUGAGACUUUUUUUUUUCAGUCUCACUCCAUUGCUUAGGCUGGAGUGCAGUGGUGCAAUCUCAGCUUACUGCAACCUCUGCCUCUUGGAUUCAAGCAAUCCUCCCACCUCAGCCUCCCUAGUAGCUAGGAUUACAGGUGUGCACCACCACACCCAGCUAAUUUUUGUAUUUUUAGUAAAAAUGGAGUUUUGCCAUGUUGUGCAGGCUGGUCUCAAACUCCUGGCCUCAAGUGAUCCACCUGCCUUGGCCUCCCAGAGUGCUAGGAUUAUAGGCAUGAGCCACUGCACCCGGCCUAUUUUUUUGAAACAGGCUCUCUCUGUUGCCCAGGCUGGAAUGCAGUGGCAAAAUCAUAGCUCACUGCAGCCUUGACCUCCUGGGCUCAAGCGAUCCUCCUAUUUCAGCCUUCCAAGUAGCUGUGACUACAGGUGUGUAGCACCAUGCCUGGCUAAUUAUUCUUUGUAGAGGCAAGGUCUCACUAUAUUGCCCAGGCUAGUCUUAAAUUCCUGGCCUCAAAUGAGCCUCCCACCUCGGCCUCCCAAAGUGCUGGGGUUACAGGCCUGAGCCACUAUCCUGGCCCUUUGUGAGAUUUCUGGGCUAGAGAACCCAGCCUCUGUAUGCCUGACCUUCUGACUUAUAGGACUUCAAGAUGUGUAAUGUCUAUUGUUUGAAACUGUUAAAUUUGUGGUAAUUUGUUAUACAGCAAUAGAAGACUAAUAUACACACUGAAAAGUUGGUAACAAUUCCUCUCAGUGACCAAGUUUUUGUGGGAAAGUUUUUAACUACAAAUUCAAUUUUUUAAGGAGUUUUGCUUCCAGUAUGGUAGUGUAAACACUUUAGAUGAACUCUCCCACUGAUUAAAAGAGCAAUAACAGAGCUGGGUGCAGUGGCUCCUGCCUGUAAUUCCAGCACUUUGGGAGGCCAAGGCAGGCAAAUCACUUGAGGUUAGGAGUUGAAGACUAGCCUGCAAAACAUGGCAAAACCCCAUCUGUACUAAAAAGACAAAAAUUAGCUGAGUGUGUUGGUGCACACCUGUAAUCCUAAGGGAGGUUGAGGUGGGAGGAUCGCUUGAAUCCAAGAGCCAAAAGUUGCAGUGAGCUGAGAUUGUGCCAUCACACUCCAGCCUGGACAACAGAGUGAGACUCUUCCUCAAGAAAGAGAGAGAGAGAAGGAGAAGUGGGGAGGACAGGGAAGGAAGGAAGGAAAAAAAAACAACUACUGGGAGAUUCUGAAGAGUCAUAGAAACCAGGCUGAUGGUAAAGGGGAGUAAAAAUCUUGGACAAGCACCUGGCAUGAGGAUGAGUCUCUUGAGCAAUGUGAGAACCUUGGACCCCUGACUCCAUUGAGACUUUCUGCCUUCCUUAUUAGGGUAGAGGGUUUUAGUUCUGAGUCUGCGGGCAUAUUAUGCUUCCCUGUAGACAUCCCUGUACUCAUCCUACUACAGACCAUCCCAAAGAGUGUGUGGUGGUUCAUCUUUUCCAAAAGUGGCUGUGACAUCUCCCAUUCCAUAUGACCUUUUUUACGUAGUGGCAAAAUACACAUAACGUAAAAUGUAUCAUUUUAACCAUUUAAAAAUGUAUACCUCAGUGGCAUUAGGCACAUUCACGUUGUUGUAUGUGCCAUCACUGCCAUCUGUCUCCAGAACUUUUUCAUCUUCCCAAACUGACACUCCAUACUCACUGAGCACUAACUCUCCUCCUCUCCUCCCGCCCAGCUCCUGGCACCCAUCAUUCUACUUUUGUCUCCAUGAAUUUGAGUACUCUAGCCACCUCAUUUGAGUAGAAUGGCUGGCUUAUGUCACUUAGCAUAAUGUCUUCAAGGUUCCCAUAUGAAAUUCUAAGAAUGGGCUGGAGACUCCUCUUCAUAGGUCUAUGUUUCUCUACCUUGAAUCUGCGUGGAAUUGUAACUAUGGUGUUAGUGACGUCAUGCCACCUCCAAAACUAAGCCAUAAAAGGCAAUGCAAUUUCCUUCUGGUUCUCUUGAAAUGCUCACUUUUGGAAUCUAGCCACCAAACUGUGAAGAUUCCAGCUCUUCAUGGAGAGGACCAUCGAGAGAGAAACUGGAGCUUCCCACUCACACCCACAACCACAGCUGAGCUCCCAUAUGACAAGCAGCACCACCUUGCCAGCCCUGGGAUUGAGCCAUCUUGAAAGUGCCAAGACAAUGAAGCAAAGAUGCCAACAAGCAGUGGAAUAUAGCAAUAAGGAACACAUAACAAGUGAUAUUCAGUAAUAUGGGCAGGUAGAAAAUUACCAUUAACCAGAUCAUGAGGUCAGGAGUUUGAGACCAGCCUGGCCAACAUGGUGAAACCCCAUCUCUACUAAAGAUACAAAAAAUUAGCUGGGCCUGGUGGCAGGCGCAUGUAACCCAAGCUACUCGGGAGGCUGAGGCAGGAGAAAGCAGAGGUUGCAAUGAGCCAAGAUUGUGCCAUUGCAUUCCAGCCUGGGUGACAGGGAGACUCCAUCUCAAAAAAAAAAGAAGAAGAAAAGAAAGAAAAUUAUUAUCAACCCAACCAAGAAAAAUUUGGGCUCAGAGCAAGGUGCCAAUUUCUUGGGCGACAUCCUGAGGUACCUAGAGGAUUACUGGAAGUGCUCAAAUGCUAUCUUCCUUCUGUUCUUUGAAUGUCAAGUUCACAUGCAGCUCAUGGCCUUUGUAUACAGGCCUCUUCCUAAAAUGCCCUUCUCUAGAUCUUGAGGUUCUCCAGCCAUACCAUUCUGGCUCCUCAUGGAGAGAUUUUUGGCACAAACCAGUGUUUCCACCUACAUAUCUAGUUGCAGUUAAUGGCACCCAAUUGCCUAAUAAAAAUGUAGGGAAGGGAAAGGAAGGGUAGGGAAGUGAAGGGGAGAGAAGGGGAGAGGGAGAAAGGAAAGAAAAGAAAAGAAAGGAGGGAAAUCUUUAGAGCUAUGGCACAGGGCUCUACUUUUUAACCCAGCUCUCUUUAACAAUUUGGGUAAAUAUAUAGCAGAGAUAAUAUUCAAAAGUUGUGGAUUGGCCAGGUGAAAGCUGUAAUUCCAGCACUUUGGGAGGCUGAGGUUGGUGUAUUGUUUGAGGUCAGGAGUUCAAGACCAGCCUGGGCAACAUGAUGAGACCCCAUCUCUACCAAAAAAUACAAAUAUUUUCUGAGUGUGGUAACAGGCACCUGUAGUCUCACCUGGUCUGGGGGCAGAGGUAGGAGGAUUAUUUGAACCCAGAAGGCAGAGGUUGCACUGGGUUGGGAUUGAGCCAUUGCACUCCAGCCUGGGUGAAAGAAUGAGACCUUGUCUCAAAAAAAAUUGUGGAUAACAAUUCAAAAUUGAGAACAACGUUGAUUUUUGUUUUACUUUUUUUAGACACAGGGUCUCACUCAGUCACCCAGGGUAGAGUGUGGUGAUAUGACCAUACCUCACCAUAGCCUCAACCUCCUAGGCUCAAGGAAUCCUCCCACCUUAGUCUCCUGAGUAGCGAGGACUACAGGCACAUGCCACCAUGCCAGGCUAAUUUUGUUUUCUUUUCUGCAGAGACAGGCCUUGCUAUAAGCUUGUCUUGAAUUCUUGGUCUCGAGUUUUCCUCCUGUCUCAGCCUCCCAAAGUGCUGGGAUUACAGGUGUGAGCUACCACAUCUAGCCAACAUGUUGCUUAUAAUGGACAACUGAAAGAAGUUUUUUUUUUUUUUUUUUUCGAGGCAGAGUCUCACCCUGUCACCCAGGCUGAAGUGUGGAGGCACGAUCUCAGCUCACUGCAACCUCUGCCUCCCAGGUUCAAGUGGUUCUCCUGCCUUAGCCUCCUGACUAGCUGUGACUACAGGUGUGUGCCACCAUGCCUGGCUAAUUUUUGUAUUUUUAAUAGAGUCAAGGUUUUACUGUGUUGGCCAGGUUGAUAUUGAACUCCUGACCUCAGGUGAUCUACCCGCCUUGGCCUCCCAGAGUGCUGGGAUUACAGGCAUGAGCCACUAGUGCCCAGCCCUGAAAUAAUAUUUCAAAUGAUCAGUCUGCUGCUGAUUGAUUAUGCAUAUUAGCAAUUUGACUCAGUUUUAACAUUUUGCAGUUAAAGUCCAUCAACGUUACUUAUACAACACUCACAUUUCUAAUUCAACUUAGGAGUUGAAUUGCUUUGUCAUUGGGUAGGUCUGUUCAGCUUUGGUUGGUACUGCCAAACAGUUUUCCAAAGUGGCUGUCAACUUACACUCCCAACAGUGAAUGAAAUUUUCAGCUGUUCCAAAUUCUCAUUGGCCCCUCAAUUUUGCUAGUCUUUUAAUUUUAGCCUUCCUUAGACAUUUGUAGUAGUAUCUAAUUGUAGUUUUAAUUUGCAUUUCCCUGGUGACUAAUGAGGUUGAGUGCCUUUUCAUAUUUUUAAGGGUUGUUUCUUCUUAUAUGAAAUACCUGUUGCCUGGCACAAUGGCUCACACCCGUAAUCCCAGCACUUGGGGAGGCGGUGGGCAGGAUCACUUGAGUCCAGGAGUUCAAGACCAGCCUGGGCAACAUUAGGGAGAUCCCAUCUCUACAAAUAAUACAAAAAUUAGCUGGGCAUGGUGGCGUGGGCCUGUGAUCCCAGCUAUUUGGGAGGCUGAGGUGGGAGGAUCACCUGAGCCCAAGAAAUUGAGGCUGCAAUGAGCCAUGAUUCCACCACUGCACUCCAGCCUGGGUGACAGAUGUACCCUAUGACAAAGCAAUUCAACUCCUAGGUCUAUACCUCUUAGAAAGGUGAAAAUGUGAAAAGGCACUCGACCUCAUUGGUCUAAAAAAAAGUAUCUGUUCAAUGAUCUAAUGUUUUAUUGAGUUGCUUAUUUUUUUAUUGAUUUGUAAAAAUCUUUAUAUAGUCUACAUAUAUAUUCUUUAUCAGAUAUACACUUUGCACCAGAAUAUUUGUAGCACUACUAUUAGUAAUAGUAAAAACUGGAAACAACUCAUUUGUCCAGCAGUGGAGGAAUGGAUACAUAGUGAUAUAUUCUUUCCUUUUUUUUUUCUGAGACAGAGUCUUGCUCCAUCGCCAGGCUGGAGUGCAGUAGGGUGAUCCUGGAUCCCGGCUCACUGCAACUUGUGUUUUCCGGUUUCAAGCAAUUCUCCUGCCUCAGCCUCCCGAGUGGCUGGGACUACAGGCACGCACCACCACACUCGGCUAAUUUUUUGUACUUUUAGUAGAGACGAGGUUUCACCAUGUUGGCCAGGAUGGUCUCAAUUUCUUGACCUCGUGAUCUGCCCACCUCAGCCUCCCAAAGUGCCGGGAUUACAGGCGUGGGCCACCGCGUCCGGCAUAGUGACAUAUUCUUAAACAAUGGAACUCUAAAUUAUUGCUAUACAAUACUAAGCUUCUGCUGGGAAUCUCACAGAUGUAAUGAUGAGUUGAAGAAGGACAAGAGAUCCAGAACCACCAUAUGUCAAUACAAGCUAUAACACAGGCAGGCCAAGUGAGUGGGGCACCUCCAACAGCAGGCCUGGGGCCCAGCAAGGCCCAGGCUGAGAGUGGAGGUGGGGGUGUCACUGGCCAUGGAGCUCCUUGGAUGGCAAAGUGGCCAAGGAAAACCCUGCAUCAUAUCUGGGGAAUCAUCUGAGAUUUGUCAGACAGAUCAGCAGGAAGAAGACACGAAAGAAAAAUGGCAUGGACCUUCAUGUCCUUCAGAGUGACGGUGGGCUUGGGCCUUGCAAUGAGAACAAGUAUCACCCAGGAUGGAGAUCGGCCAGGGGCGGGGGUCAUGGGUGGGCUACAGGUACCUCCUACCACUGACAACAAGGAGGCAGAAUUUCCUUGGUCUAGACUAGAGUCUGGGUCAUGGGCAUGGCCGUGCUUGAGCUUCUGACCAGAAGCAGGUGGACAUGGAUUUGAGCUUCGUGUAAGAAUGGAGACUCCCCUCCAGGGACCAUAGGGGCUGGCAGCUGAAGAAGGUGACCUGGCCCCCGUCUAGAAGGUGAACACAGGGUAAACCCAAGCCCAUGAAGUGGAUGCAGCUGGGAAAAUCUGCCUGGUGCUUUCAAACCUCAACAUCAAACACUGCUCACACCUCAAACACUGCUCACACCAUGGUAAAAUCUAGUUGCAAAAUCUGUCCUGCAGCAGUUUUCUUUCCAGACGCUCAGGCCUCUCCUGGCAGCAGGCAGCUCUCCCCACCCACCCCCUCCACUCGUGCCCCUCCUACAGCCCAAGGCAACUCCCAGCAACCUUUGUGAACCAAGCCCAUCUUGCCGCCCAGGCUCCGGAGCUGUUUGCAUGUUGUGCAGAUGCAGCCUUCAGCCUUGGAUACCCACCCACUCCUCUGCUUGGGAGUUGUUUUCACAGGCUGCUCUUCCUGUAGCUUCAGAGAAGUAGGUCAAGUAGGUUAAAUUGCUUUGAAGGAGAAGUGCCAGGGGUUCAAGUCAUCCAGCCUGGAGGCAGGAAUCCUGGGUUCUAUUUCUGGCUUCACAGCUAAUCAGCUGUGUGACAGGCGUUAGGGGCUCAUUCUCCCAUCUGGGUCUCCCUGGGUCCUUCUCUAGGUCCCACAAUUUUUUUAUUUUCUUGAAGCUAUAUUCCCUGGGACUGUCUUCUUCCUCCCUCUUCCCUCCCUCUGGGAGGUGCUUUAAAGAUGUUGGCUGCUCAAGGCUGGCAUCCUGGGCAAGAGGGGCUGCAGUUGUUGUAGCCGAUGAGGACUACAACAACUGCAGCUUUUGUGUAGACACGGUAGAGCUUAUGGGGCCAUGUGAGGCUGGAGUGUCAGGAAGUCAGACUCCUGUAACUACAGGACAGGCCCUGGUGAUGUGAUGACGGGGAUGCUGAAGCCCAGAAUUUGAGUUCGGGCUCCUGGGUUUUAUGCAAUGGCUGGAGAUUCCCUCCCACUUCUAAGCCUCUCUUUCUGUGUCAUGCAGGGAAAUUCAGUCUCUGGUUCAUAUAGAAACUUGGGACCUCACUGUGCUGCUUGCUCAUGGCAGAAGAUAUCAUUUGAGCUGUCACAGCAGAGGACCAAGGUGCAUUUUGGCCAAAGAAUAAUAACCUUUCUAAGGCUUAGUUCCUCUGGCCUGACCAAACCAGUCCUAGGAGGCCCCUGGGCUCCAGUCAAGGUCACAGGAGAGGCCCUACAUGGAUGAGGCCUGGGGGAGCAGGGUGGAAAUUAAGUGCCCAGGUUGGUGUAGAUAGCCUCAAUCCCUCUCCAAUCCCCACCCUCCAAACCCAGUCAUGGGGGACGUGAAACAGGUGAGGCAGAGAAGCAAAUGUAGGUCAAGGGCAGGAAGGAACGUGAAGCUUUAGGCUGCCGGGAACUCCGAACUGCACUCAACUCACAGCACAGCUGUGGAUGUGCACAUCACAUGUGCGCCGCCAGACAGCAUGGCGUGAUGGAAAGGAAAUGGGUUUUGGAUGGCGUGUUCUGGGUUUGAAUCUCUGCCUGCCCAUGUACUAGAGAGUAGUCUAACCGCUCUGGGCCUCGGUUUCCCAGCUGGGAAAUGGGAAUAAUAGUGCUUAUCUUGCACGGUUGCUGAGAGUGUUCCAUGAGAUGAGACAACCCGAGUAAAGUAACUGGCAUAGACCUAUCACAUUUGGGGCACUCAGUAAAUGCGACGUCCUUUCUACUUGCCUUCCUGUCAUACCUUUCACCAUGUUUUGAAUUUCUGCAGCUAAAGAUAGGAACCCCAAUUCUCACUUUGCCUCCUUUUUGUAAUUCACCUACAUGCCUGACUUCUGCUCAGUGCCUCUUCAGAGACUCACUAUUCUGGAGAGUGGGAACCUAGAGUUCUGCCCUUCUGGUUUGUUUUGUUUUGUUUUUUUUGCUUUGUUUUUUUGAGGUGGAGUUUGGCUCUUGUUGCCCAGGCUGUAGUGCAGUGGUGUGAUCUCGGCUCACCACAACCUCUGUCUCCUGGGUUGAAGCGAUUUUCCUAACUCGGCUUUCUGAGUAGCUGAGAUUACAGACGUGCACCACCACACCCAGCUAGUUUUUCGUAUUUUUAAUAAAACAGGGUUUCUCCAUGUUGGUCAGGCUGGUCUCAAACUCAUGACCUCAGGUGAUCCACCCACCUCGUCCUCCCAA